This 454-nucleotide ribosomal RNA is filed under the name uncultured bacterium. RNAcentral describes it as "bacterial SSU rRNA". It matches the Rfam family "Bacterial small subunit ribosomal RNA", at positions 32 to 507 of the family's 1533-position model. The record is from RNAcentral.
AAUCAACGCUGGCGGCGUGCCUAACACAUGCAAGUCGAACGAGAACGGUUCCUUCGGGGAUUUAGUAAAGUGGCGAACGGGUGAGUAACGCGUGGAUGAUCUGCCCUCAAGUGGGGGAUAACUCGGGGAAACCCGGGCUAAUACCGCAUAAGCCCUUCGGGGGAAAAGUAUUUAUAUUGCUUGAGGAGGAGUCCGCGUCCGAUUAGCUAGUUGGUGGGGUAAGAGCUCACCAAGGCGACGAUUGGUAGCCGGUCUGAGAGGACGGACGGCCACACUGGAACUGAGACACGGUCCAGACUCCUACGGGAGGCAGCAGUGGGGAAUUUUGGGCAAUGGGGGCAACCCUGACCCAGCAACGCCGCGUGGAGGAAGAAGGUUUUCGGAUCGUAAACUCCUGUCCCGAGGGACGAAGCAAGUGACGGUACCUCGGGAGGAAGCCCCGGCUAACUCCGUG